CUGAACCUGGUGCAGGCCUGAUGGUCUGACCUUGCUCACUGCUCUUCCUCUUUUCCUCCUUCCCAUUCCCCUCCUCCUCCUUUUCUUUUCGUUUUCUUCUUUCUCCUCUUCCCUUGACCCUCCACCUCCCUUCUACCCUCCCAUUACUCUCUUCUGUUCUACACAGCUUGAAUAUUCCUGGGCUAUUGUUUGUACAAUAAACUGUGCAAAGAAACACAAUCCUCCAAUGAAAGUUAUUUAAAAGUAAUUCUGAUUUUCACUUACAUUUUCCCAAGUUGCUAUGGGUUGAAUUGUGUGCUCCAAAAUUUAUAUAUUGAAGUCCUAAGCCCUAAUACCUCAGGAUGUGACCUUAUUUGGAGAUGAGGUCUUUACAGAGGUAAUUAAGUUAAACUGAGACAUUAGCAUAGUCCCUAAUCUGAUAUGAACUGCAUCCUUCUAAGAAGGAGAAGUUUGGACACAGGCAGCCAUACAGGGAGAACACCUUGUGAACUUGAGGACAUCCAUCUACAAGCCAAGGAGAGAGGCCUGGAACAGGCUCUUUUCCUCAGAGCCUUCAGACGGAACCAAACCUGUCAGCACCUCGACUUUGGACUUCUACCCUCCAGAACUCACAAGCCUACUGUCCUCAAGCAAGAUCACCUCAGGACUGCAAAAUGACUGCUGCAGCACAAGUCAUUACAUCCAUGUUUCAGGUUUCGAUGACCAGACUGUGCUUGUUCAGUGGGAACCCCUUAAUUCUGGCUCCUGGGUCCUCUUGACAUGUUCCCAUAAGUCCAUGAGCCUAUCCUUACUUGGCACAAAAAGGUGUUCCACAUUCUUCUCAUAUUUUCACUGCCCCAGCCUUAAACUCACUGUAUUUUGAGAACUGGUGGAUACCACCCAGUGUUAAAAGUUGAAGUCUUGAACCACUGUAGGAGCCAGAGGAGACGGUGAUUUCUCCUCAAAUUAUGACCCUUCUUGACCUUCAGAUGAAAGGACUAAGAGGAUGAUUGCCCCCACGUGCUUGUAAUUCAUCCCCAGGAUAAACAAAUCUACUGUCUUAAGUUUCUCAUGAUUUCCAUUUCAUGGAAGAGAAUUUCAAACUGAGCCUCAGAGACACUAGGUGGGAAACGGGAAUUCAAAUCUGUGGGAUAGGGUAACGGGAGAUCAAUACGGAACGGACUGCCGCCCUUACUAACAGUGACCCUGACCCACACAAGCCCGUGUGUGGGAGGAGCUUGGGCUCCUCCCAAGGAGCCUGCAGAGCCGGCGGCGAGCAGGAAGCCUCAGGGUACAGAGGAGCAUGUCACUCUGAACUCCCAGAUGGUGAAAGGAUGCCACGAAGGCCAGAAACAAAACCAGAUUGAACCAGCUAGGUCCAAGAUGACGGGCAAAGUAGGCUAAAGUACCUGGUGUUUGGCAGACAUGCUUCGCGGGCUGUACUUUGAGAGAUACACAGUGGUCAACCAUCCCAAACCAGCUCUGACGACCACGGGAACACGCCUGCGCAGAUGAAACCAGGGGGCUGUCCCAGCAUUACCUUCGCUUCAUUACCUUGCUAACAUCUCCACCCAAAGCGGGGAUUUGUGCUCUGCUAGGCACAAUUUGUUCCACGUGCAAAGGAACAUGGCCGACUGCGCAUGACCUGGCUGCCCCUGGAAAUCUCCGCCCCUUUCCUAGAGCCCUGAUGACCCUCUCCCUCCUAACCCUAAAAUUCCCUUACUCCCCUCUCUUUGGGGAGAAGGUGCUUUUAGAGUUUGAGCUUCCCUUCUCCAUUCUCUGGCGUUUGGGUAAAAACCUGUUUUGCUUGCACCAAACUCAAUUUCAUUAUUGGGAGCUCGAAACUGAGUGGGAAGGAACUCCCUGUCUGAUAGGGGUUGGGGGAAGGGAGAGCUUAGGUUCAGCUAAGGCACCAAGAAUGGGGGGGGGGCUCACGUCUAAUUCAGUAACAUUACCAUACUGCUUGUAUCCGUUUUCAACUGACUUUUUUUUUUUUUUUUUUUUUUUUUUCGUGGGCCUUU
Delphinapterus leucas (beluga whale) is the source of this 2000-nucleotide long non-coding RNA. RefSeq lists it as uncharacterized. Lineage: Eukaryota; Metazoa; Chordata; Mammalia; Artiodactyla; Monodontidae. The record is from RefSeq and is a predicted model, not a curated record.